Molecule: ribosomal RNA, 204 nt
Filed under: Klebsiella quasipneumoniae subsp. similipneumoniae
Lineage: Bacteria; Pseudomonadati; Pseudomonadota; Gammaproteobacteria; Enterobacterales; Enterobacteriaceae
Also listed under: 1 other name
Description: partial 16S ribosomal RNA
Rfam family: Bacterial small subunit ribosomal RNA
Source: RNAcentral
AUAAACUGGAGGAAGGUGGGGAUGACGUCAAGUCAUCAUGGCCCUUACGACCAGGGCUACACACGUGCUACAAUGGCAUAUACAAAGAGAAGCGACCUCGCGAGAGCAAGCGGACCUCAUAAAGUAUGUCGUAGUCCGGAUUGGAGUCUGCAACUCGACUCCAUGAAGUCGGAAUCGCUAGUAAUCGUAGAUCAGAAUGCUACG